UUGUUGUUUUCAUUGUUGUCGUUGUUCUCGUCUUUGUCGUUGUUGUCGUCAUUGUCGUUGUCGUUGUUGUCGUCGUCGUCGUCAUCGUUGUUGUUUUUUGUUGUUGUUGUUGUUAUUGUUGUUGUUCAUGUUGUUGUUCUUGUUUUCAUUGUUUUCGUUGUUCUCGUCUUUGUAGUUGUUGUCGUCAUUGACGUUGUCGUUGUUGUCGUCGUCAUCAUCAUCGUUGUUGUUAUUGUUGUUUUUUGUUGUUGUUCUUGUUGCUGGUGUUGUUGUUGUUGUUGUUGUUGUUGUUGUUCUUGUUG
RNAcentral lists this long non-coding RNA (302 nucleotides) under Hordeum vulgare. RNAcentral describes it as "long non-coding RNA (HVUL_LNC021590)". The record is from RNAcentral. Lineage: Eukaryota; Viridiplantae; Streptophyta; Magnoliopsida; Poales; Poaceae.